CCUACGGGUGGCAGCAGUGGGGAAUAUUGGGCAAUGGGCGCAAGCCUGACCCAGCAACGCCGCGUGAAGGAAGAAGGCUCUCGGGUUGUAAACUUCUUUUCACAGGGACGAAGCAAGUGACGGUACCUGUUGAAUAAGCCACGGCUAACUACGUGCCAGCAGCCGCGGUAAUACGUAGGUGGCAAGCGUUAUCCGGAUUUACUGGGUGUAAAGGGCGUGUAGGCGGGGAAGCAAGUCAGAUGUGAAAUCCCAGGGCUCAACCUUGGAACUGCGUUUGAAACUGUUCUUCUUGAGUGAUGGAGAGGCAGACGGAAUUCCGAGUGUAGCGGGGAAAUGCGUAGAUAUACGGAGGAACACCAGUGGCGAAGGCGGCCUGCUGGACAUUAACUGACGCUGAGGCGCGAAAGCGUGGGGAGCAAACAGGAUUAGAUACCCUAGUAGUC
This 443-nucleotide ribosomal RNA is filed under the name uncultured bacterium. RNAcentral's name for it is "partial 16S ribosomal RNA". It matches the Rfam family "Bacterial small subunit ribosomal RNA", at positions 338 to 795 of the family's 1533-position model. The record is from RNAcentral.